GAUGAACGCUGGCGGCGUGCCUAAUACAUGCAAGUCGAGCGAGCAGAUAAGGAGCUUGCUCCUUUGACGUUAGCGGCGGACGGGUGAGUAACACGUGGGUAACCUACCUAUAAGACUGGGAUAACUUCGGGAAACCGGAGCUAAUACCGGAUAAUAUUUCGAACCGCAUGGUUCGAUAGUGAAAGAUGGUUUUGCUAUCACUUAUAGAUGGACCCGCGCCGUAUUAGCUAGUUGGUAAGGUAACGGCUUACCAAGGCGACGAUACGUAGCCGACCUGAGAGGGUGAUCGGCCACACUGGAACUGAGACACGGUCCAGACUCCUACGGGAGGCAGCAGUAGGGAAUCUUCCGCAAAGGGCGAAAGCCUGACGGAGCAACGCCGCGUGAGUGAUGAAGGUCUUCGGAUCGUAAAACUCUGUUAUUAGGGAAGAACAUACGUGUAAGUAACUGUGCACGUCUUGACGGUACCUAAUCAGAAAGCCACGGCUAACUACGUG
RNAcentral lists this ribosomal RNA (497 nucleotides) under uncultured bacterium. RNAcentral describes it as "partial 16S ribosomal RNA". It matches the Rfam family "Bacterial small subunit ribosomal RNA", at positions 28 to 507 of the family's 1533-position model. The record is from RNAcentral.